AGGAGAAAAAGUUGGAGAAAGGAGAAAAAGUUGGAGAAAGGAGAAAAAAUAAAAUAUCUCUCCUUUUAAAUAAUGAUCUAAUAUUUCAAGAAAAAAUAUCUCAAAAGGAGAUGUUUUAUUCUAAUUGGAGAAAGGAGAACGGGGUAGGAGAAAGGAGAAGAGGGGUGGGAGAAGGGAGAAGGGUACCCCCUGUCCUCCCCC
This 201-nucleotide long non-coding RNA is filed under the name Mytilus galloprovincialis (Mediterranean mussel). Lineage: Eukaryota; Metazoa; Mollusca; Bivalvia; Mytilida; Mytilidae. The record is from RNAcentral.